Molecule: long non-coding RNA, 370 nt
Organism: Pogoniulus pusillus (Red-fronted tinkerbird)
Lineage: Eukaryota; Metazoa; Chordata; Aves; Piciformes; Lybiidae
Exons: 4
Source: RefSeq, a predicted model, not a curated record
CCUUGUGGCAUAAAUGCUGAUGGUCAGACUCGGGCAACGUGUUGCAGCUCUGAGUAUUCAUCAUUCUAGAAACAUCUCUGGUACAUCAGAGUGCCAGGUCUGCAGCUUUGCGCUUAUUUCCAGAGACCAUCUAUACAUGGCAGGACAGGUAACCCCUGAGCUGGCUGAUGGAGGAGAAUAAGAAAUCCUUUCUAAGCAGAAAAAAUCAUCCUGUGUUUCCUUUUCCACACUACUUCAAGGGAAUGUGCAUAUUGAACCGACUAUACGGAAGUCUCGGGACAGGGAGAAGAUCAGCCAGCUCUUGAUGCACAUCCCCUUUCCUGAAGUGCUUUUCUGCAACAUACCUGAGUACCCAUGCAAAGGACAUCUG